This 239-nucleotide ribosomal RNA is filed under the name uncultured bacterium. Its description in RNAcentral is "partial 16S ribosomal RNA". It matches the Rfam family "Bacterial small subunit ribosomal RNA", at positions 116 to 354 of the family's 1533-position model. The record is from RNAcentral.
CGUGAGGAACCUGCCUUGGAGAGGGGAAUAACACAGCGAAAAUUGUGCUAAUACCGCAUGAUGCAGUUGGGUCGCAUGGCUCUGACUGCCAAAGAUUUAUCGCUCUGAGAUGGCCUCGCGUCUGAUUAGCUAGUUGGUGGGGCAACGGCCCACCAAAGCGACGAUCAGUAGCCGGACUGAGAGGUUGACCGGCCACAUUGGGACUGAGACACGGCCCAGACUCCUACGGGAGGCAGCAG